RNAcentral lists this ribosomal RNA (567 nucleotides) under Trifolium gymnocarpon. RNAcentral describes it as "eukaryotic LSU rRNA". The stretch from base 115 to 270 matches the Rfam family "5.8S ribosomal RNA". Lineage: Eukaryota; Viridiplantae; Streptophyta; Magnoliopsida; Fabales; Fabaceae. The record is from RNAcentral.
AACACAAACCCCGACGCUGAAUGCGUCAAGGAAUUUAAAAUUUGCUCUGAGCGCACCGACAUAACACCGGAGACGGUUUUUAUGCCGGUUGUGUUCUGACACGUAAUAUAGAAUGACUCUCGGCAACGGAUAUCUAGGCUCUUGCAUCGAUGAAGAACGUAGCGAAAUGCGAUACUUGGUGUGAAUUGCAGAAUCCCGUGAACCAUCGAGUCUUUGAACGCAAGUUGCGCCCGAUGCCAUUAGGUUGAGGGCACGUCUGCCUGGGCGUCACAUAUCGAAGCCUCUUUGCCAAUUUCCUAUUGAUAGGUAUUGUGCAGGGUGAAUGUUGGCCUCCCGUGAGCUCCCUCGUCUCAUGGUUGGUUGAAAAUUGAGAUCUUGGUAGGGUGUGCCAUGAUAGAUGGUGGCUGUGUUACGCACGAGACCAAGUCAUGUGUUGCUCUAUCGAAUUUAGCCUCUUUUACCCACACGCGUUUCUAAACGCUCGUGAUGAGACCUCAGGUCAGGCGGGGCUACCCGCUGAAUUUAAGCAUAUCAAUAAGCGGAGGAAAAGAAACUAACAAGGAUUCC